CAGUUUUUGGAUACUUCUAGAAAUUGACUAAUAUUAAAAUUGCACUCUCAACCCUCUAAAUUUGAAAGAAAAAGAACGUUUUAGAUUAAGACCUUUUUAUCAAUAUAGGUGAUUUCAAAUAAUUUCCUGUCACCGUUUUUGAAAUCAUUGUUAUAAUAUUUGUACCCCAUUCAACUCGCAUUUUGUUUAAAGAGAACGAACAUUUUUUUUCAUUUUCUUUAAUACACCCCUUUCCAAAAGAAUGGAAUGAAAUAUGGAGCAAAGAGCAAGAUUUCAAAGAAAGGCCUGGUGCGAGUUUAUUGGAAAUUCGUACCCAGGGCCAUUUUACUCGGUUGCUUGUUGUUUUGGGCCUUUUGGCCAUAGGCUUUCUUGGCAAUCUUGCGUCUAAGAACGUUCUGAACGUCUAGUCUUUUACGCUUUUACCAUCCAAAGAAAUCACCGUUUAUAAUUGAGGACAUCUGGUUGAGGAUUAUCACACACCGCUGUUGGUGUGUUUUUGUUUGAGGUAAGGUAAAUAUUUUUGCCUAAUUAUUAAUAUUCAUGACAGAAAUGAAGACCAAUUUAUACCAUGC
Non-coding RNA from Paramuricea clavata, 572 nucleotides. The record is from the annotation of a GenBank genome assembly. Lineage: Eukaryota; Metazoa; Cnidaria; Anthozoa; Malacalcyonacea; Plexauridae.